RNAcentral lists this ribosomal RNA (305 nucleotides) under uncultured bacterium. RNAcentral's name for it is "bacterial SSU rRNA". It matches the Rfam family "Bacterial small subunit ribosomal RNA", at positions 1 to 337 of the family's 1533-position model. The record is from RNAcentral.
UAGUGAGUUUGAUCCUGGCUCAGGACGAACGCUGGCGGCGUGCCUAACACAUGCAAGUCGAACGGAGUACUUUCGGGUACUUAGUGGCGGACGGGUGAGUAACGCGUGAGAAUCUGCCCAUAGGAUAGGGACAACAGUUGGAAACGACUGCUAAUACCUGAUGUGCCGAGGAGGUGAACUUUAUGGCUGUGGAUGAGCUCGCGUCUGAUUAGCUAGUUGGUGGGGUAAAGGCUCACCAAGGCGACGAUCAGUAGCUGGUCUGAGAGGAUGAUCAGCCACACUGGAACUGAGACACGGUCCAGACU